Molecule: long non-coding RNA, 322 nt
Organism: Bombina bombina (fire-bellied toad)
Lineage: Eukaryota; Metazoa; Chordata; Amphibia; Anura; Bombinatoridae
Exons: 2
Source: RefSeq, a predicted model, not a curated record
UAUAGCUACUAUGUCAAAAAAUCAAAUAGCCGGAAAAGAGGGAGCUUCCGAGAGAGAGAGACUCUACCCAAGAUCUAUUCAGUAAUACAAAAUUAAUAAGAUGAGCAGAAAUUCAGAAAUGCAGAACUUUUGGACAUUCUUUAAAUACAUUUACAGCUCUGCUUCAGAACCUACCGACCCAGAGGUUAUACAGCUUCGUUGAGGAGUGAACGCUUACUCGACAAAUUCAAAGACUUUGGGGUGGGAGGGCCAAUUUAUACACUGUUGUCGGAUACGUUCUGUAUUUGAAGUCUUAUUUUCAAUAAAAAAUAUUUCAACUAAA